This is a long non-coding RNA of Ictalurus punctatus (channel catfish), 609 nucleotides long. The record is from Ensembl. Lineage: Eukaryota; Metazoa; Chordata; Actinopteri; Siluriformes; Ictaluridae.
CCGUAUUGUAUCGAUACCACCGAGUCUGCAAGGCUGCAGUAAAUAUCGUAUCGUAUCGUAGCGGAUCCGGUAGUAUCGUCCGAUAUCGAAUCGUAUCGUAGCGGAUCCGGUAGUAUCGUCCAACAUCGUAUUGUAUCGUAGCGGAUCCGAUCCGGUAGUAUCGUCCAACAUCGAAUCGUAUCGUAGCGGAUUCGGUAGUAUCGUCCAAUAUCGAAUCGUAUCGUAGCGGAUUCGGUAGUAUCGUCCAAUAUCGAAUCGUAUCGUAGCGGAUCCGGUAGUAUCGUCCAACAUCGAAUCGUAUCGUAGCUGAUUCGGUAGUAUCGUCCAAUAUUGAAUCGUAUAGUAGAGGAUUCGGCAAAAAAAAAAUUCUCAUCUUAGCAAGUGAAAAUACCUUAAAUACAGUCAAAUUUAUCGAGUGUUUCUCAUUAUGAGAUUACAAUAAACCGAAUAUACGACCGUUAAACAUGUUUCUAGUCAUUAUUACUCAUUUCAAGCUUGUAGUUGUUGUUGUUUUUAUUUAUUUAUUCUCCCGGCAGCUCAUUUGGCUUCUUUCAGGAAAUAAAUGCUUCAAAUGGGCAAAAUUAUCCGCCAAGACGACGUUAUUUCAAG